RNAcentral lists this ribosomal RNA (253 nucleotides) under uncultured bacterium. RNAcentral's name for it is "partial 16S ribosomal RNA". It matches the Rfam family "Bacterial small subunit ribosomal RNA", at positions 524 to 776 of the family's 1533-position model. The record is from RNAcentral.
UACGUAGGGUGCGAGCGUUAAUCGGAAUUACUGGGCGUAAAGCGCACGUAGGCGGCGAUUUAAGUCAGAGGUGAAAGCCCGGGGCUCAACCCCGGAAUAGCCUUUGAGACUGGAUUGCUAGAAUCUUGGAGAGGCGAGUGGAAUUCCGAGUGUAGAGGUGAAAUUCGUAGAUAUUCGGAAGAACACCAGUGGCGAAGGCGGCUCGCUGGACAAGUAUUGACGCUGAGGUGCGAAAGCGUGGGGAGCAAACAGG